UAUAAGUAAUCAAAGUGAUUGUUAAGGAUGCCUAGCAAACAUUUAUUAAAGGAGGUGGAAACACCUAAAGCUAUGUCUAGCUAUAAUAGCAUAGCGGUCCUAAAGGAAACUAAAAUUUAAAAACGCAGUGAACUGAAACAUCUAAGUAACUGUAGGAAAGGAAAUCAACCGAGACUCCAUAAGUAGUGGUGAGCGAAAGUGGACUAGCCUAAUAAUUUAAUAUUAUCAUAGAAUCAUUUGGAAAAAUGAUCCCAUAGAAGGUGAUAGUCCUGUAUAUGUGGUAUUAAAUCAAAUCAAGUAGAGUGGAAGAUAAUCUGCUUCAAUAAUAUGGGGAACCAUCCUCAAAGGCUAAGUAUAAAUGUUUAGCGAUAGUGAAGAGUAACGUGAGUGAAAGGUGCAAGAGAAAGUCGAUGACUGGUGAAAUAGAAUCUGAAUUAGCAAUCAUAUAAGCAAUUAAAGCAAUUGAAUCUUACAAUGACUUUUGAGAGUAAGAAUGAAAAUGUAAUAAUGUACCUUUUGUAUAAUGGGUUAGCGAGUUGAUGGCAGUAGCGAGGUUAAUAGCCCUAGCGAAAGCGACUCACAUCAUAACAGAUGUGCGGGAAUAGUUACUGUCUUCAGACCCGAAACGCGGUGAUCUAUCCAUGACCAGAUUAAUAAUAAGAUCGAAUGGUUCAAUGUUGCAGUAUUGUCCAAUGAGUUGUGGAUUGUCGGUGAAAGGCCAAUCUGACUGCGAUAUAGCUGGUUCUCCUCGAAACAUAUUUAGGUAUGACUUUCUGAUUUAGAUUUAUGCGGGUACAGCACUGAUUACCAUACUGAGCUUUAAUUUUAAAGUAAGGUUUAAUUGGGGGGUUGUCGAAACUUUAUCAUUGGUUAAUUAACCUCGGAAACAACAUAAAUUGAUGCAGAAAUUUCAGACUACUCAUGAUAAGGUGGGUAGUCGAGACGGAAACAGCCGUGAACAUAGAAUAAGGUCCCAAAGUAAUGAUUAAGUGAAAAUAAGGAAGUUGUGGUUCGAAUACAACUAUAAAGUUAGCUUGGAAGUUGCUAUCUUUUAAUGAAAGUGUAACAACUUAGUAGUCUAAUGAAACACAGCACCGAAGAUUAACGGGUCUAGAUCAUUCACCGAAACUAUGUCUAUAUGUUCUUAAUAUAAAAAGGAAUGUAUUUGGGUAGAGGAGCAUUCAGUAUGGUUGAAGAAUAGUGUUUCAUUAUUUGGACAUUACUGAAGAGAUUAUGCUAACAUGAGUAACGUAGAAAGAAGUUAUAAUACUUCUCGCCGAAUGCGAAAGGGUUUCAAAGAAAUGUUAAACAGCUUUGAUUGAUAACGGUCUCUAAGGUUAAAUCAAAUGUAUAAACCGAUGAGUAUAGGGUAGAAAGUUUUUAUCCAAGAAAAUAAUACCUUUAUUAUCAUUUAUGAUAAUAAAUUCUAAAUAACCGUACCCUAAACUGACACAAGUUCGUAGGUAGAGAAUACUAAGGCGUAGAGAUAAUACUGUAUAAGGAACUCGGCAAAAUGCGUCCGUAAGCUAGACAAUAAGGACGACCACAAAGGUGUCACAGAAUCGUGAAGCACAACUGUUUACCAAAAACACAGGUAUCUGCUAUGUUUAAUAACAUUGUAUAGGUGCUGAAUCUUGUCCGAUGUCCAGAGUAUAAUAUAGGUGAAGAAGUUAAAGUAGUUUAAAUAUCAUGUGGUUUAGUGGCGCUAAGGGCAUGAUGUCUUAUGUAAGUAUCUUUGAUAUAAUUGAGAGGUAUUACUUUGUUAAGUAAUAUGGGUAAAUGAAUUAUAUAAGAACGAAAUUUAGUAGUCAUUUAUAAAAGCUCCGAUCAAUGACAGACUUAACUAUAAGGUUUUUAACAGUAGCGAAAUUCCUUGGCCGUUAAAUGCGGUCCUGCAUGAAUAGAGUAAUGAUGCUUCAGCUGUCUCAUACAGUAUCUCAGUGAAAUUGAAUUAGCCGUGAAGAUGCGGUUUAAAUGUGGGUAGACGGGAAGACCCUAUGCAGCUUUACUAUAAUUAGUUAGUAUUUUCAUUUGAAACAAUCGUAGCGUAGAGGGUAGUCGUAAGACAUUAAUGAAACACCCUUAUUAAUUUCAGAUGAAAAUUAAUCCUAUAAAGGAAAAACUGACUAGCUGGUAGUUUAACUGGGACGGUUUCCUCCAAUAGAGUAUCGGAGGACUUCAAAGGUAUGUUUAUAUUAGAUGGACACUAAUUCGUUAUGUAGAACGUAUAGAAAUGUAAAGGUAAAACAUGCUUAACUGCUAGACUGAUAAGUCGAACAGAUACGUAAGUAGGACUUAGUGAUCCGGUGAUCCUUUAUGGAAAGGUCAUCGCUCAAGAAAUAAAAGUUACGCUAGGGAUAACAGGGUAAUAGCUCUCGAGAGUUCAUAUUGUCAGAGCUGUUUGCCACCUCGAUGUCGACUCACCUUAUCCUCCUGGUGCACAAUCUAGGAAGGGUUCUGCUGUUCGCAGAUUAAAAAGGUACGCGAGUUGGGUUCAAUACGAUGUGAGUCAGUAUGGUUCCUAUCUUCCACAUUCAAGAAUAGUCAAAUUUAGAUGGGUCCUUAGUACGAAAGGACCGGGAUCUGCGUUUCUCUGGUGUACCAAUUGUUGAUAUAAUUUCUCUAUCGGCACCGUUGGGUAGCUACAAACGUUAAGAAUAAAAGCUGAAAGCAUAUAAGCUAUUGAAGUCUACUAAAGGCGACUAUAUUUGUGUUAUUUAUUAACACAUGGUAAGAGGUAGACUACCUCUUUGAUAGGUCACAUGUAUAAGCAACGAAAAGUGCCAUUAGCUUAGUGAUACUAAUUUUCCAAUUUUCUUAUUU
RNAcentral lists this ribosomal RNA (2823 nucleotides) under Apiotrichum akiyoshidainum. RNAcentral's name for it is "bacterial LSU rRNA". It matches the Rfam family "Bacterial large subunit ribosomal RNA". Lineage: Eukaryota; Fungi; Basidiomycota; Tremellomycetes; Trichosporonales; Trichosporonaceae. The record is from RNAcentral.